This is a non-coding RNA of Cyprinodon variegatus (sheepshead minnow), 426 nucleotides long. NCBI's taxonomy places the organism in Eukaryota, Metazoa, Chordata, Actinopteri, Cyprinodontiformes, Cyprinodontidae. The record is from the annotation of a RefSeq genome assembly.
AUGAUAAACAAUUCAGAGGUUUUUGUACGACGGCUCAAUGAGUUUGUAUCACUGUGGUGGACUUUUGGUGGAGGAACCAGGCUGGAUGUUAACUUGGAAAAUACCCGUCCCACCCUGACAGUGCUGCCCCCCUCCAGUGAGGAUCUGCAGCAGGGGAAGGCCACCCUCAUGUGUCUGGCCAACAAGGGUUUCCCCUCAGACUGGAGUCUGUCCUGGGAGGUGGACGGCAGCAUUAACACCUUCACCUGGGAGGAGAACAAGAGCAGAGGAGUUAUGCAGAAGGACGGCUUCUACAGCUGGAUCAGCACCCUGAGGCUCCCUGCAGACCAGUGGAGGAAGGUGGGCUCUGUGACCUGUGAGGCCACCCAGGGCUCCCAGUCUGCAGUCACAGAUACACUGAGGAGAGACCAGUGCUCCCAGUACUGA